AGAGUUUGAUUAUGGCUCAGGACGAACGCUGGCGGCGUGCUUAACACAUGCAAGUCGAACGGAGUGCCCUUGAAAGAGGCUUCGGCCAAUGGAUGGGAACACUUAGUGGCGGACUGGUGAGUAACGCGUGAGGAACCUGCCUUUCAGAGGGGGACAACAGUUGGAAACGACUGCUAAUACCGCAUGACACAUCGAGGGGGCAUCCCUUUGAUGUCAAAGAUUUAUCGCUGAAAGAUGGCCUCGCGUCCCAUUAGCUAGUUGGUGAGGUAACGGCCCACCAAGGCGACGAUGGGUAGCCGGACUGAGAGGUUGACCGGCCACAUUGGGACUGAGAUACGGCCCAG
RNAcentral lists this ribosomal RNA (344 nucleotides) under uncultured bacterium. Its description in RNAcentral is "bacterial SSU rRNA". It matches the Rfam family "Bacterial small subunit ribosomal RNA", at positions 8 to 334 of the family's 1533-position model. The record is from RNAcentral.